RNAcentral lists this ribosomal RNA (105 nucleotides) under Tetranychus urticae (two-spotted spider mite). Lineage: Eukaryota; Metazoa; Arthropoda; Arachnida; Trombidiformes; Tetranychidae. The record is from RNAcentral.
GUCUACGACCACACCAGGCUGAAAACACCGGAUCCCGUCCGAUCUCCGAAGUUAAGCAGCUUCGGGCCGAGGGAGACCACUUGGGAACCCCCGGUGUUGUGGACU